GCUUGCUGCGUGUAUGGUUAGUGGCAGACGGGUGAGUAAUGCAUAGGAAUCUACCUAGUAGUAUGGGAUAGCCACUAGAAAUGGUGGGUAAUACUGUAUAAUCCCUGCGGGGGAAAGAUUUAUCGCUAUUAGAUGAGCCUAUGUCAGAUUAGCUAGUUGGUGGGGUAAUGGCCUACCAAGGCGGUGAUCUGUAGCUGGUCUGAGAGGAUGAUCAGCCACACUGGAACUGAGACACGGUCCAGACUCCUACGGGAGGCAGCAGUGGGGAAUAUUGGACAAUGGGCGCAAGCCUGAUCCAGCUAUGCCGCGUGAGUGAGGAAGGCCUUAGGGUUGUAAAACUCUUUCAGUAGGGAAGAUAAUGACGGUACCUACAGAAGAAGUCCCGGCAAACUCCGUGCCAGCAGCCGCGGUAAUACGGAGGGGGCAAGCGUUGUUCGGAUUUAUUGGGC
Molecule: ribosomal RNA, 449 nt
Filed under: Anaplasma marginale
Lineage: Bacteria; Pseudomonadati; Pseudomonadota; Alphaproteobacteria; Rickettsiales; Anaplasmataceae
Description: bacterial SSU rRNA
Rfam family: Bacterial small subunit ribosomal RNA
Source: RNAcentral